Molecule: long non-coding RNA, 1739 nt
Filed under: Chinchilla lanigera (long-tailed chinchilla)
Lineage: Eukaryota; Metazoa; Chordata; Mammalia; Rodentia; Chinchillidae
Description: lncRNA (ENSCLAG00000024063.1)
Source: RNAcentral
CCCAGCCUGUGGCCCUGUUGGGACAGGGUGGGACCUUUAGGAGACAGAGCUGAGAGGAGGGACAUUACAUCACAGACAAGGACCCUUCGGGGGACCUGGGGACACCAGCCUUUUCCCCCCUCUCUCUGCUUCCUGGUGCCCACGAGAACCUUUGCUCCACUGCACCCUGUCCGCCAUGAUGCUUUCCUCUAUUCAGGCUCCAGAGCAACAGAGCCGACUGAACGUGGGCUGAAACUGCAAGCUAAAGUAUGAACCUUCCCUGCCCAUAAGUUGAUGAUCUCAGGCAUUUUGAAAAGUAACAGCAGAGCUUUUCUUCAGGACUCAAAACAUCGCCCAGUGCUGAAUGCUAAACUCCAGUAGUUUGACAUCUGAUCCAGUGGAGUCUUCUACCGUCCCCCUGCAAGCACAAGGAUGAGGACUCAGGCAGUGACAAGCGCUGGGUGCUGGGAGUCGGUGCGUGGUCACUCUGAAAAAGGCGGUCUGCAAAAAGUGUCCUCAGCUUGAGACACCGAAGUUCAACAGCAAGUUUACUUGCAGAAUUGCAGCAAUACGGCAAGAACAUCCCCAGCAAGAAAAAGCAACACUGAACUACAGAACAUAGGUCUGCAGAGCAGAAGCCUGGUGUGCUGGCUUUCUGUGGCUUUGUCCCCGACACUGUGGUCUUCAGCCGUGUCCAUGGAUGGCUGUCAAUCAGCGUUCCUCAUCUGGGGUCCAGGGGCUUCUGCAGCUGGGUGAUGCCUGGCUGGCCAGCUGUCCCUGGGAGACUCCUCGGUCACCAUUAAGUAUCUGGACUCCUUUGGAAGCCGCCAUGAAGAACGCGAGGAGCAUGUAUCAGGAAGCACUGCUGCGAGGAUUAAAUGAUAUUCGCACCUCCGCCUGACUCUCCAUCUUCAUGUGGAACGUGCACCUUUCCUUUCCGGGGGUCAGUGACUUCCCAUGGCUUUGAUUCAGUUGCCCAAUAAAAGCCUCCUGCUACUCACUGCCUGCUUCCAGAGUGACACGCCUCCACGGGUCAGGAAGAGCUUGUAUUUUAGACCCAGAGUUGCACUAUGUAGUUCAGGCUGGCCUUCAACUUGUGAGGCUUCUCCUGCCUCAGCCUCCUGAGUGCUGGGAUGACAGGCGUGCACCACCAACCCUGCCAGUGCCUGUGCUUUGUGGAUGGAGCAGCCUGAGUUGGUGGGAGCAGUUACCUGCAUGGCUGGCGUCCCUUUCUGCAGAUCUUGCAGCUGAGUCCCUCUUUGACCUGGAUGUGGGUUCUUCCCAGCAGCUGUCUUCCACCGGUCUCCCUUGCACCUCAGAUGCUUAUGACAGAGACACCCAGCCAGCCAAGCCCCAGUGGUGAUAGGUGAAGUCACAGGGAAGGGAGGCUGAGGCAGGAGGAUCCCAAGUUUGAGCCCAGGCUUGGCAACUGAGCAACAGAACGCGUAAAAACUACAAGAAGUAGAAGAAGGCAAAGAGGAAAUGCAAAAAGGAAAAGAACAAUUUUUUUCCAAAACAACUCUGAGAUUCCAGCUCUGUUCAGAAAGAAUGACUAUUACUAAAAUAUCAACCAACAACAAAUGCUGGGCGGGCUAUGGGGAAAAAGGAACCCUUCUCCACUGCUAGUGGGAGGGUAGACUGGUGCAAACCCUGUGGAAAUCAGUGUGGAGAGUCCUCAGAAAACUAGGACUGGAGGUGCCAUUUGACCCAGCCAUUUCCCUUCUGGGUAUUUCCCUAGAAGAAUAAAAGCAUUAUAUCAC